UGAUAUGAUUGCAGAUAUUCAUAUUUCAAAAUUGUUGUAAAUCCGGUUAAGUUGACUGACCAGGACAGCACAAUCCGGUUAUCGAGUAGAAGACCAUGUGUUACUUAUCUAGCGGUUGAAAAAUCUGCUAUAAACUAAUAUUGAUUUGUCUUUUCACCUUUGUUUUCUUUACAACAAUUCUGUUUUGUUAUAUCCAUGUUAAUAGUUAACUAUUCGGG
RNAcentral lists this long non-coding RNA (218 nucleotides) under Brassica rapa (field mustard). RNAcentral's name for it is "long non-coding RNA (BRAP_LNC007769)". The record is from RNAcentral. Lineage: Eukaryota; Viridiplantae; Streptophyta; Magnoliopsida; Brassicales; Brassicaceae.